This 497-nucleotide ribosomal RNA is filed under the name uncultured bacterium. RNAcentral describes it as "partial 16S ribosomal RNA". It matches the Rfam family "Bacterial small subunit ribosomal RNA", at positions 28 to 507 of the family's 1533-position model. The record is from RNAcentral.
GACGAACGCUGGCGGCGUGCCUAAUACAUGCAAGUUGAGCGAUGAAGAUUGGUGCUUGCCCCAAUUUGAAGAGCAGCGAACGGGUGAGUAACGCGUGGGGAAUCUGCCUUUGAGCGGGGGACAACAUUUGGAAACGAAUGCUAAUACCGCAUAACAACUUUAAACAUAAGUUUUAAGUUUGAAAGAUGCAAUUGCAUCACUCAAAGAUGAUCCCGCGUUGUAUUAGCUAGUUGGUGAGGUAAAGGCUCACCAAGGCGAUGAUACAUAGCCGACCUGAGAGGGUGAUCGGCCACAUUGGGACUGAGACACGGCCCAAACUCCUACGGGAGGCAGCAGUAGGGAAUCUUCGGCAAUGGACGAAAGUCUGACCGAGCAACGCCGCGUGAGUGAAGAAGGUUUUCGGAUCGGAAAACUCUGUUGGUAGAGAAGAACGUUGGUGAGAGUGGAAAGCUCAUCAAGUGACGGUAACUACCCAGAAAGGGACGGCUAACUACGUG